GACGAACGCUGGCGGCGUGCUUAACACAUGCAAGUCGAACGGUAAGGCCCUUCGGGGUAUACGAGUGGCGAACGGGUGAGUAACACGUGGGUGAUCUGCCCUGCACUUCGGGAUAAGCCUGGGAAACUGGGUCUAAUACCGGAUAGGACCACUGCCUGCAUGGGUGGUGGUGGAAAGCUUUUGCGGUGUGGGAUGGGCCCGCGGCCUAUCAGCUUGUGGGUGGGGUGAUGGCCUCCCAAGGCGACGACGGGUAGCCGGCCUGAGAGGGUGAACGGCCACACUGGGACUGAGAUACGGCCCAGACUCCUACGGGAGGCAGCAGUGGGGAAUAUUGCACAAUGGGCGCAAGCCUGAUGCAGCGACUCCGCGUGAGGGAUGACGGCCUUCGGGUUGUAAACCUCUUUCAGCACCGACGAAGCGCAAGUGACGGUAGGUGCAGAAGAAGGACCGGCCAACUACGUGCCAGCCGCCGCCGUAA
RNAcentral lists this ribosomal RNA (478 nucleotides) under uncultured bacterium. Its description in RNAcentral is "partial 16S ribosomal RNA". It matches the Rfam family "Bacterial small subunit ribosomal RNA", at positions 28 to 523 of the family's 1533-position model. The record is from RNAcentral.